AGAACUUAGCAGAGAUGCUUUGGUGGCCUUCGGGAACGUCUGAGACAGGUGCUGCAUGGCUGUCGUCAGCUCGUGUUGUGAAAUGUUGGGUUAAGUCCCGCAACGAGCGCAACCCUUAUCCUUUGUUGCCAGCGGUCCGGCCGGGAACUCAAAGGAGACUGCCAGUGAUAAACUGGAGGAAGGUGGGGAUGACGUCAAGUCAUCAUGGCCCUUACGAGUAGGGCUACACACGUGCUACAAUGGCGCAUACAAAGAGAAGCGACCUCGCGAGAGCAAGCGGACCUCAUAAAGUGCGUCGUAGUCCGGAUUGGAGUCUGCAACUCGACUCCAUGAAGUCGGAAUCGCUAGUAAUCGUGGAUCAGAAUGCCACGGUGAAUACGUUCCCGGGCCUUGUACACACCGCCCGUCACACCAUGGGAGUGGGUUGCAAAAGAAGUAGGUAGCUUAACCUUCGGGAGGGCGCUUACCACUUUGUGAUUCAUGACUGGGGUGAAGUCGUAACAAGGUAAGCGUAGUGCU
Molecule: ribosomal RNA, 519 nt
Filed under: uncultured bacterium
Lineage: Bacteria
Description: bacterial SSU rRNA
Rfam family: Bacterial small subunit ribosomal RNA
Source: RNAcentral